RNAcentral lists this transfer RNA (77 nucleotides) under Bdellovibrionales bacterium RIFOXYD1_FULL_44_7. RNAcentral describes it as "tRNA-Met". It matches the Rfam family "tRNA". From Rfam's summary of the family: Transfer RNA (tRNA) molecules are approximately 80 nucleotides in length. RNAcentral also lists the same sequence under 5 other names. Lineage: Bacteria; Pseudomonadati; Bdellovibrionota; Bdellovibrionia; Bdellovibrionales. The record is from RNAcentral.
GGGCCUAUAGCUCAGUUGGUUAGAGCAUCCGGCUCAUAACCGGACGGUCCCUGGUUCAAGUCCAGGUGGGCCUACCA